GCCCAUAUGGCUCAGUGGCUAGAGCAUCUCACUCGUAAUCCAUUACGAGGCUAUGAGAAGAUCCCUUGUUCGACUCAAGGUGUGGGCU
Molecule: transfer RNA, 88 nt
Filed under: Paecilomyces variotii No. 5
Lineage: Eukaryota; Fungi; Ascomycota; Eurotiomycetes; Eurotiales; Thermoascaceae
Description: Byssochlamys spectabilis No. 5 tRNA
Rfam family: tRNA
About the family: Transfer RNA (tRNA) molecules are approximately 80 nucleotides in length. Their secondary structure includes four short double-helical elements and three loops (D, anti-codon, and T loops).
Source: Rfam by way of RNAcentral